CCUACGGGGGGCAGCAGUAGGGAAUAUUGCUCAAUGGGGGAAACCCUGAAGCAGCAACGCCGCGUGGAGGAUGAAGGUUUUCGGAUUGUAAACUCCUUUUGUUAGAGAAGAUAAUGACGGUAUCUAACGAAUAAGCACCGGCUAACUCCGUGCCAGCAGCCGCGGUAAUACGGAGGGUGCAAGCGUUACUCGGAAUCACUGGGCGUAAAGAGCGCGUAGGCGGGAUAGCAAGUCAGAUGUGAAAUCCUAGGGCUUAACCAUAGAACUGCAUUUGAAACUGUUAUUCUAGAGUAUGGGAGAGGGAGGUGGAAUUCUUGGUGUAGGGGUAAAAUCCGUAGAGAUCAAGAGGAAUACUCAUUGCGAAGGCGACCUGCUAGAACAUAACUGACGCUGAUGCGCGAAAGCGUGGGGAGCAAACAGGAUUAGAUACCCGGGUAGUC
Molecule: ribosomal RNA, 440 nt
Filed under: uncultured bacterium
Lineage: Bacteria
Description: partial 16S ribosomal RNA
Rfam family: Bacterial small subunit ribosomal RNA
Source: RNAcentral